AUUGAACGCUGGCGGCAUGCUUUACACAUGCAAGUCGAACGGGCUGUUGGGGCAACCUGGCAGUCAGUGGCGGACGGGUGAGUAAUGCAUCGGAACGUGUCCCAUAGUGGGGGAUAACCCGGCGAAAGCCGGACUAAUACCGCAUAAGCUCUAUGGAGGAAAGCGGGGGACCUGAAAGGGCCUCGUGCUUUGGGAGCGGC
Molecule: ribosomal RNA, 200 nt
Filed under: uncultured bacterium
Lineage: Bacteria
Description: partial 16S ribosomal RNA
Rfam family: Bacterial small subunit ribosomal RNA
Source: RNAcentral